GUGCCAGCCGCCGCGGUAAUACGUAGGGGGCGAGCGUUAUCCGGAUUCAUUGGGCGUAAAGAGCGCGUAGGCGGCUUGUUAAGCGAGAUGUGAAAACCGGGGGCUUAACCCGCGGCCUGCAUCUCGAACUGGCAGGCUUGAGUCUGGUAGAGGAGUGUGGAAUUCCCAGUGUAGCGGUGAAAUGCGCAGAUAUUGGGAGGAACACCAGUGGCGAAGGCGGCACUCUGGGCCACGACUGACGCUGAGGCGCGAAAGCUAGGGGAGCGAACAGGAUUAGAUACCCUAGUAGUCC
Molecule: ribosomal RNA, 292 nt
Filed under: uncultured bacterium
Lineage: Bacteria
Description: partial 16S ribosomal RNA
Rfam family: Bacterial small subunit ribosomal RNA
Source: RNAcentral